GAACGCGAAGAACCUUACCAAGGUUUGACAUCCUGCGAAGGUCUCCGAAAGGAGACUGUGCCUUGUGAGCGCAGUGACAGGUGUUGCAUGGCCGUCGUCAGCUCGUGUCGUGAGAUGUUUGGUUAAGUCCAUCAACGAGCGCAACCCUUAUAGUUAGUUAAAUUUCUCUAGCUAGACUGCCCCGGCAACGGGGAGGAAGGAGGGGAUGAUGUCAGGUCAGUAUUACCCUUACACCUUGGGCUAGAAACACGCUACAAUGGCCAGUACAAAGGGCAGCCAAGUCGCAAGACGGAGCAAAUCCCAUCAAAGCUGGUCUCAGUUCGGAUAGCAGGCUGAAACUCGCCUGCUUGAAGUUGGAAUCGCUAGUAACGGUAGGUCAGCACCCUACCGUGAAUACGUUCCCGGGUCUUGUACACACGC
This 420-nucleotide ribosomal RNA is filed under the name uncultured Candidatus Saccharibacteria bacterium. Its description in RNAcentral is "bacterial SSU rRNA". It matches the Rfam family "Bacterial small subunit ribosomal RNA", at positions 957 to 1393 of the family's 1533-position model. The record is from RNAcentral. Lineage: Bacteria; Candidatus Saccharimonadota.